AUUUGUUUGCACAGCAAUUGCACCACCUUCUGCCCAGACUAAUGAUACUCUUCAGUAUGAAAUUUGGUUAAAUCUCUUGCAAGAAAACAAUAUAUUAAAAUGUUCCUGGGAUCAUUGAAGCGCAUAUAUCAAGACCAGACUGCAGUGCCAUUUCACAGAAAAGAUGAUUCACCGGAGCCUGAGGAUCAAAAACCGGAAGAAUACAAGAAUGAUCUUUUAAACAGUUAUUUUGAAACACCAAUUAACUGAUAAUUAUAAAGAAUGCAUGAGCUGAUAUUCAGACCAGAAAAAUACUUAUGUUUAGUGGAAAUAUAUUAGGUUCAUGAUAGAUGGAAUUCAGUGUUUUUGUUGCAUUGCCUGGCGACAAAAAAUGGUUUGUAAAGUAUGGAAGGAUGUAUUUUAAAGCUAAUGAGCUUCCAGAAGAAGAUCCAGACCCCAGCAACUCUGAAUGGGACAAGCGGGUAUAUAAAAUAGAUGGAUGGAUAUUCUAUUUGUUUUUAACGUUGCAAGAACCACACAUAAUGGCUGGAACGUUUUGAAUCUGUGGUAGAAUCAUCAGUGACUACAAUAAACUGCCCGGCAGCCAUGUG
Brienomyrus brachyistius is the source of this 590-nucleotide long non-coding RNA. RefSeq lists it as uncharacterized. The transcript has 3 exons. Lineage: Eukaryota; Metazoa; Chordata; Actinopteri; Osteoglossiformes; Mormyridae. The record is from RefSeq and is a predicted model, not a curated record.